Non-coding RNA from Ceratotherium simum simum (southern white rhinoceros), 108 nucleotides. The record is from RefSeq and is a predicted model, not a curated record. Lineage: Eukaryota; Metazoa; Chordata; Mammalia; Perissodactyla; Rhinocerotidae.
GUGCACAUGAGGGAGGGGCCUGGAGUAGCCUCCUAUGCACAGUCCAUGCAGCCCAGAGCUGAGCCAGCCUCCCUGGGACUUCCCAGUGGCCCCUGCCCACCCCCUGGC